Long non-coding RNA from Arvicola amphibius (Eurasian water vole), 769 nucleotides. RefSeq lists it as uncharacterized. The record is from RefSeq and is a predicted model, not a curated record. The transcript is spliced from 3 exons. Lineage: Eukaryota; Metazoa; Chordata; Mammalia; Rodentia; Cricetidae.
GCCACCAGCAAGAUGCCAUCCCGCCAAGCCAGGGGGCUGGAGGAGGUGCCCAUGGUCUGGCAGACACCGCCAUUUAACACAGGCCUUCUUGCUGGGGACGGGUUGUAAUUAGAACGAAGAACUCCAUGCGAAAGGCACAUUGUCAAAAAUCCAAUUUCCACUCUGAGAAAUGAGUGUGGCCCAGAAUAGAUUCAGAACGUGAUUAAAUGGGCCUCUGGAUGGAGACCGGGCUGGCCCAGCUCCAAGUAAGGAGCAGUGUCAGACUCUCCCUGGGCUCACCCAGAACAGGGCAUUGAAGGGAGGUCCUUUGCCGGGUGACCUGAGAAACUGGACUGCCGGUGUCGUUUCAGGGGUGUGCCAGAAGAAGGGAAAUGUCAUUUCCAGCCUGCAGCUGUUUAGACUCAGGCUUUCGUUGUUGGUUUUCUGCUUUCUCUCCCGUUCGCGUGACCAGAAUUAGAGACCGUCAGCAAACAACAGUUAAGAAGACGACCUCGCAUCACCUGUGAAAGGGUGCCAUGCAAGGGAGCAACCUCUCUUACACAGACAGUACCAGGUGUCCCUGAACCCUUGAGCCAGUUGGCGGAAGGUCAGAAACAGGAAGUGGCCACUACUGUCACACUUGUCUUCUUAUCGCACGUAUAAGAUGGUUCAGUACAUCAGUAUACCUCCUGGAUGGUUCAGUACAAAACCGUUUCAUCACCGCAAGGCUCUACUAAGUACAGACCUCUCCUAGUCACCCCCUUUUCUCCCCCUCCCCAUCUUUCCUGAC